Molecule: ribosomal RNA, 279 nt
Filed under: uncultured bacterium
Lineage: Bacteria
Description: partial 16S ribosomal RNA
Rfam family: Bacterial small subunit ribosomal RNA
Source: RNAcentral
UGCCAGCCGCCGCGGUAAUACGAAGGGUGCUAGCGUUGUUCGGAAUUACUGGGCGUAAAGAGCAUGUAGGCGGAUGAAUUAGUCAGAGGUGAAAGCCCCGAGCUCAACUUGGGAACUGCCUUUGAUACUGUUUAUCUAGAGUCCGAGAGAGGGUAGUGGAAUUCCCAGUGUAGCGGUGAAAUGCGUAGAUAUUGGGAAGAACACCAGUAGCGAAGGCGGCUACCUGGCUCGUAACUGACGCUAAUGCGCGAAAGCGUGGGGAGCAAACAGGAUUAGAUA